GAGGAUGAUUGUUCUACUCAAAUAUGUGAUAGCAGGAACAGCAGUCUUGACGAGCCUAAUUUGUUGAGCGAGCCUCUACAAUGUGACCAGUCUGCAGUGAAGCGAAAGCUAGUUGACGACCAUGUGUUAUGUGAUUUGUCUUGCAAACAAAAGAGGAGAAUUGGCAAGUCGCGUACACAGCAAACUUCUGAAACACCACGAAGAUCACCAAGACUGGCACGCCUAAAUAUUUCUCAUGACAGCAUAGAGAGCCUAUUGAAAGAACGACCUGAAGUGUUAGAAUCAUCACCA
RNAcentral lists this long non-coding RNA (291 nucleotides) under Brachypodium distachyon (stiff brome). RNAcentral describes it as "long non-coding RNA (BDIS_LNC002604)". The record is from RNAcentral. Lineage: Eukaryota; Viridiplantae; Streptophyta; Magnoliopsida; Poales; Poaceae.